This is a long non-coding RNA of Alosa sapidissima (American shad), 2771 nucleotides long. RefSeq lists it as uncharacterized. NCBI's taxonomy places the organism in Eukaryota, Metazoa, Chordata, Actinopteri, Clupeiformes, Clupeidae. The record is from RefSeq and is a predicted model, not a curated record. The transcript is spliced from 5 exons.
AUUUGACUGCAUCACAAUGACAAAUAAAUAAACAUGAAAUGUGUUAAAUUACUAUAAAUGCUUUCAAAUAUAUGACAAGUUCGUGAAAUUAGGGUAUAUGUAACGCAAUAUUAAUUUGCGUUGUUGUUAACCUCUAUAGUACUAUUUGUGGCUCCUAGCUCGCCGUAGCUGAGUGAACAUCGACAGAUAUCCUACAUAGACUGCUGUCAAAGAUUCUAUAGUUGCUGUUGUGCAGCUGAGCUGACAGUCUCAAUGAAUGCUAUGUUUUUCUUCUUCUCUCUUGAUACACUUUUGUCAGUUAAGCACCGUUCCUUUGGAUUUUGUUGAGUAAUGUUAAACUCCGCAGACAGUAUGGAGACCAGGUACAUGUAAACAGACGUGUCAGGAAGAGCCCAGUUCCGACCUGCAUAUGGGUACUCGCGGUGAGCCCGAGGUGAAAUGGCAGAACGCGCUCCUCCUAAAUGUGCUGUUCAAGGUUGUGAAAGCGGUGACCAUACGUUUCAUACCCUUCCCAAGGAACCAAAUUGUCGACAGGCAUGGCUGAUGUUCAUAUUUAGUAAGAUUCCACAUACCUUUAACCCGAAAUUGUUAAUUUGCUCUGCUCAUUUUACUUCGGACUGUUUUGCCAACAUGAAACAGUUUCAAGCAGGCUUCGCCCAGCGUUUGGUACUGAACAGAGGAACAGUUCCAACUUUAUUGCCACCAUACCCUUUAUGGCCACCUAAACCUCAACUGGAAUCGCAAACAAGUACAGUAGGCCUACAUCAACUCCCACAUACAAGCGAUGCUUGCUGCCAAACUGAUGUCGUGUCACAGGAAACACAGUUGUCCUCAAAAACAUUGAGACCUCAGUUACGCAGCAUAGGCACACAGGCUACGGUGCCAUAUCAGAGUGUGGCGGUUGGCAGCACGACUACUGCAAUGGCGACCUUAAUUCCAUUAAGUUCAACACCAGUCAAGACUUCAUGGCCAGUAAAAAGACCCCAUCUUGAAUUGGAGUUGGAGGAAGAAGUAGAGAAUGGCUCCACCGCAGCCACCGAGCCACAAGAUUCAACCCAUGAUACGGCAUUGUCUAUUACAAAUGAGACCGAAUCAUCACGACCCUUCACACCACCAUUUAUAUCAUAUGGGGAUGCCAAGUACAUAGUUUUUGAGGACUGCCUCCUCAGCCUGUUUGAGACUUGUCCUGUGUGCACCAAGGCUUGUAAUGUCCACCCACGCAGGCGAGGGACCUUCUUAGCUGUCGACCAACUCUGCCCUCACUGUGGUUUCUUCAGACAGUGGAGGAGUCAGCCAAAGAGUAUAGAAGGACCAAACGGCGAAACUUAAUCGGAUAUUCCAUAGCAACGAAUGCCUCCAUUAGCAUCCACCAUUUUGGACUGGUGACCACACAACCUACCGGUUGAAAAGUGCCUCACAAAAUUAAAACAAAAAUAUACUCUUUCUACAUAUCCUUAAUGCCUCAACUGACAUGACUUGUGUUGAAUGAUGCAAAAUAUAAGUAUGCAUUCGUUUAUAGUUAUUUAGGCUAAUCUCACCAGAUUUGACAGAAGGUUGAUUUACCAAGCUGAGCAAGUCACUUUGACUCAGUUGUUACAUUUGAGUUUGUACAUAUGACCUAUUGUGUUUAAAUGUGAAUGAGCAGCUGGGGUUCUGGUUUUAUGCUGUUUAACAUGGGUAUGUUCAGUCCAAAAUGGUGAAAGCACUCUUCUACUUUGAGUCAGCCUGUCAUUGGCAGCACCCCUGUGGGCAACCUAGAGUUGGUCAGCUGCCAUCGAGUGGAGUUCCCUUUUUCAAGAUGAAAAAGGUAUUGUGUCCAUUUUCCAUAGCAAGAUGUGUUUGUUGAAGCAACAUAUUUUAUAUUUGUUUUACAUAUUAAGACUGAGAAUGCACACUUAUGAUGCACUCAGGAGGCAUGCCAGGACUUACCUCAAACCUGCUAUUGUCCACAUUUUGAAUGAGAGGCGGAAAGCGUUGCUUCAAGGCCUGAGCCAGAACGGUGAUGGCAUAGUGGGUGUUGAUAUUCAUGCAGACUCACCACCAGGUAUGUGCACUACUUCAUUUUUAUGAAUAAUUUGGUUAUAGUGUUCAGUCAUAACCUGGCAUGCAUUUCAGGACAUUGUGCAAAAUAUGGCACGGUUGCACCAUGUUGGACUUGCAGACAAACCAGAUCAUUGACUAACAUAUGGAGAAGGUAUGAAGUUGGGCUGUAUUAAUUUACCAGUAAACGUCACCCUCAAGUCCAAAAGCUUCUAAAGGAUCGUAACAUCAACUUUUACAUGAUUACGGAUUUCUGUGCCACUGGACUUUUGUGCCCAGAAUGACAGACCUGCCAUGGAGGAUGCUGUAGCUCAUCUGUACCCCAACAUACUGCCCUGGAGUGUUAGGAAACUCCAUCUGAAUGCGGAGCACCACACAUGAUGGUAGCCGCACAAACACUUCUACCAAGAAAGCCCCAGCACCAGCUGACCAUCCGUCUGCAGCUCAAGUACUGCGCUGCCUGCAAGGAGUUGAGACACAACUUUUCUAGUCCUUGUUUUGUUCAGUGUUUAACAGGGUCGGGCAUGCAUGCACAAUGCUGAAAAACAAUAAAGUGUUGUGUGUGUGUUAAUUUCUAUCCUGUGUGUUUUUGUAAUUUGCUGUUGCCACAACAAAAAGUGGGCUGUGCAUGACAGAUUGAUCUUACCUUUCCAUCCAUCUGAGUGACAAACCGCCAUGGUCUGCUCUGUGCACAUUUAUUGCAUUUUGCAAUAAAUAGAUUUUUAAACAUA